UCCUGAGUUGUAAGGUAUUUCAUACUGCCU
This 30-nucleotide non-coding RNA is filed under the name Macaca fascicularis (crab-eating macaque). The record is from RNAcentral. Lineage: Eukaryota; Metazoa; Chordata; Mammalia; Primates; Cercopithecidae. RNAcentral also lists the same sequence under 1 other name.